CGUGAAAUUCACGAAAAUGUGAAAAAUAUUUUGAUCAAAGCUGUACAGAUACAGUCUGACGGUGAACUUACUCUUCCCGUAAAUUGAAGAUUAUGGUAAACAAUACUGAUGACUGAUAAGUAAUCAAAAGAUAGUCCAUCUAAAGAACUUAGGAUUAAAUAUUUUCCUCAAAUGAAUGUAACAGUUUGAAAGACUGAUGUUCGGGAUUUGAUCGAAAAUAAUCAUAAUCAUAAUGAUACCGAGAACACUGUUUCAGAGGAAAUAGAAAAUGUGGCUGACAAGAUUACCCCUCCGAACAAUAUUACUGCUACUGCCACUACUAAUGCUUUUCAUAAUUACAACAUCAUUUCGACACCAGUGAUUCGGAUGGGAUGGAAGACAGUGAUAGAUAGCAGUUACACGGAUUUCCCUUUCGAUGACUGCAUAGACGGACGUGGCAUGGUACCGGAUCCGUCCUUGGCAACGCGCCGCCACAUAUAAUACGUGUCGUACAAUGAUGGUGGCAGUUAAGGAGAAAUUCCGUAUAGUCCUCGUUGACAUCGUUCUGACAAAAUCGAUCGCAACAUCUAUGGCCGCAAAAAAAGGAUCGACCAAAUGCAAAACUGAAGAAUACUAAAAUGAACAGUACUAUGAUCCAGACCUCGUUAAAACGAAAGUCCUUAUCGAUUCUAAGGUUUGAAGGUGGUACCUAAAAAUGAUAAUCAAGGUCGCAAAUACUAUGAAUUUUAAUUCAUUUUCAUGUAUGAAAUUCCAAACGGGAAAUACUGGCUAAAGAAUUGAAACAAGAACGUACAGCAAAAAAAAAACGUACCUAAAGAGAAACACUGUUUCAGAGGAAAUAGAAAAUGUGCCUGCAACUACUUUGGAUGGGAUGUUGGUAGUUUUAGGAAGAGAAGUAACCGAUUUGAUCCCAGCUGAAAGGCUUACCUGAAAGUGCCCACAAUGUUUAUCACAUACAUUUUUUACAAUAAAAUAAAUUACAUUUCAGGAUCACCUAUAUUAAUUUCUAUUUCACAAGUAAUACAAUCUAAACAUUCCGCACACUGUAACGACUAAUGAUUGAUCCCAUUUUUAUAUUGUAUUAAUUCAUUGUUCUAAUACCGAAAUGUUUAAGAAAUUGUUGGAUUGCCCACAUAUGUUAAUUUUUUCUUUCAAUUUGUAUGUAGUUUUAAGUUUUAGUUUUAACGAUAUAUAUUAUUAACUUUUGAUAUCACUGAUAAUAUCGAAGAUGAAAUUGGACAUUUAGAAACCUGCCAGACUGCUACAGCUGUAAAUUUAACUGACAUACAUUUUAUAGAAAAAUCUG
Acyrthosiphon pisum (pea aphid) is the source of this 1306-nucleotide long non-coding RNA. RefSeq lists it as uncharacterized. The transcript is spliced from 3 exons. The record is from RefSeq and is a predicted model, not a curated record. Lineage: Eukaryota; Metazoa; Arthropoda; Insecta; Hemiptera; Aphididae.